UCGCGCCCGGCAACAUGCGAUUCGUCAUGUCCGGAUUGUUAUUGCCUUGAUUAUUCCUGCGAGUAAUCACGAGACGAUAUCAUUAAUUCAGUAAUAUAUUUGAUGUUUUGAAAAACAUUAUAAUACGUACGCUGGUAUUGAGGUACGAUAUUUGUUGCGGACUCGGAACAGGCAUGAGCUCUUUGACAACUUGACCACCAGGACCCAUUUGCUGUUUCUGUUGCGCCAUCGACGGUAACGAUCGACAAAACAUUGCAUCAACUGGAAAAUAAUAUUUUACUAUAGCAACGAAUAGGCUACUAGAUAGAUCAUUCACGCUGGAAACUGUUACAAUAGUAAUCAUUUUAAAUAAACUUCGAAGAUUUGAUUUGUUAAUGCGAUUCUACAUGGUUAUUUUUAAAAAAGACUGAUAGGAUAAUUGAACUUUUCUUUACGCUUAAUUAAACACUUGAACAGAAAAAAUUAGUUCUUAUCACACGAAACUUAUCCGUUAAUGUCAGGCUCAUUCUUUUUAAGUAAACAAAGGUUGCUCAACUCUAACUAUGUUUAAGUUCUUUUGAACAAAGUAUUAAAAGGAAAGCAAAGGACUCAUCGCGCCUAGAUGAUUUUGCGACAUAGGAGUACCAGGAUUGCUGUGAUUCAGUCUGUUGGCGUUCGCCGCCGCCGCCGCGGCUGUAGCCGGCGAAUCCUGGCUUGUUGGACUCUGUCCAGGCAAUUG
Molecule: long non-coding RNA, 718 nt
Organism: Phymastichus coffea
Lineage: Eukaryota; Metazoa; Arthropoda; Insecta; Hymenoptera; Eulophidae
Exons: 3
Source: RefSeq, a predicted model, not a curated record